GCUAAGCAGGCUGUGGACUUUUCAGUAUCUGUUUCCUCCCCUGUGGUCCUGGACAUGGUCCCCAACCCCUGCCUCAGAACUUUGAAGUCUCUGCCUAGCUGCAAGCAAGUGAACAUCUGGAACAUAUGGUAAUUCCUAGGCCUUCUUCACCUGGACAAAGAACAUCUGGACACUGGUGGUUUGCCUGGAGGGUUCCCUUCGAUCCCAAGUCCUGUCCAGAAUGCUGCAGAGCCAUUCUUGGCAUCCCUGGCCACAGUGAUGAGAAGCCUUACUGACACAGCAGGGAAAAGCCAAGGCUGAAGGUCGAUGGAUAUGGAGCAGGCAUAAUUGUUCUACACAUUGUUUGAAAGGCGGGAGCAUCCCUAUAGCACAUGUGGUGACUGAUCUUCUCUGUGAACUUGAUACUAUCUGAAAUCAACUAUGACACUUGCCUCAUGGUAGUUCUGCGAGGGCAUUUCCAGGAAGGAGUCACUGAAGGGAGAAGGUCUCCACAGAGGGGUAGCAUCUUCUGACACAUCACAGCUAUAAAGAAGCCCAGGGAAAGGGCAGUGUUGCUUGCUUGCCUGCCUUCUUUUAAUGAUGGUGAAUGUGCACUGCUGCCACUGCCGCUGCCACCAUCCUCCACUGGUGACAGACUCUAGCCUCUUCUACCUUCCACCAUUGACUGAGAACCAGUAGCUCUUGAGGGAUCCUUCAGGUCUUCAGAUGCAGAUUGGGACAUCUGGGGCCCUCAGAUCUAUGGUCCAAACAGCUGCUGGGUUGCCAACCCCUCCAGCACGCAGACAGCCACUGUGGAAGAACCCAGUCCUUAUUGUGUAGGCCAUUUUGAUAAAUCCUCUGGUAGAAUAUCAGUACACUCUACCAUUUCUGUUCCUCUAGAGAAUCCGCCCAAACCCACUAUGUCUAUUUGAUAUGCUUCCUGUUUUGACCUAUAUGCAUUCCCCUGAAACCAUCGCUACACUUAACACAAAGAACAUAUUCAUCACUCCCAAGUGUCCUCAUACCUCUAAAUAUUCUCUUUGCAGCUCUUUAGUUAAUAAAUUUUAUGUAAUUGAAUAGAGCAUAAGGAGAUCAAGAUGCAUAUAGUGGUUACUAUAAAGGAAACAUCGUCUAACCACGGCCUGUCGUGAAGUAGCGCAUCCGCAAUGCUCAGACAAUCACUUCAUCCCUCUUCCAGCGCAUCCUGCACUCUUCCUCACGGGAACCACUAUUUUUCUAACUAGUUCCAGUACAGCAUGGUUGUAAAACCACUUCCUGUUGUCCUAGAAGCGGGAUGACCAUGACAAAGUGGUACUCGACAGUUCUCUUCUGCCAUCCAGCAGUGUUUGGCAAUCCCAGUGGUUCCUGGCUUUGCCUGUUCUUAGAUCUAAAAGUUGAAUAUUGAGGGCAGUUAAUAGGAAGGAAAUGGAAUUACCCAUUUCUUCCUUAUUUUUGUCCUUUUGGAUUUAUAUAUCGUGUAGCUCUGUAUUAUGCAUAUGUAUUUAUAAUGAUUGUAUCUUUCUAGUUAAUAAAUGCUUCACCAUUAUAACAUGUCUCUUUAAGGGGAUGGGGAUACAGUU
Molecule: long non-coding RNA, 1559 nt
Organism: Mus musculus (house mouse)
Lineage: Eukaryota; Metazoa; Chordata; Mammalia; Rodentia; Muridae
Product: predicted gene, 30557
Exons: 3
Source: RefSeq, a predicted model, not a curated record